UCUUGCUGCCCUGUAAGAAGUGCCUUUUGCAUCCCACCAUUAUUCUGAGGCCUCCCCAGCCAUGUGGAACUGUAAGUCCAAUUAAAGCUCUUUUUGUUCCCACUUUCAGAUAU
This is a long non-coding RNA of Sapajus apella (tufted capuchin), 113 nucleotides long. RefSeq lists it as uncharacterized. The record is from RefSeq and is a predicted model, not a curated record. The transcript is spliced from 3 exons. NCBI's taxonomy places the organism in Eukaryota, Metazoa, Chordata, Mammalia, Primates, Cebidae.